GUGCCAGCAGCCGCGGUAAGACAGAGGUGCCAAGCGUUAGGCGGAAUCACUGGGCUUAAAGCGUGUGUAGGCGGAUUGGUAAGUACCUUGUGAAAUCCCACAGCUCAACUGUGGAACUGCUUGGUAUACUGCCUAUCUUGAGCCACUUAGGGGCUGUCGGAACAAAUGGUGGAGCGGUGAAAUGCGUAGAUAUCAUUUGGAACGCCAAAGGUGAAAACAGACAGCUGGGAGUGUGCUGACGCUGAGACACGAAAGCCAGGGGAGCGAACGGGAUUAGAUACCCCCGUAGUCC
RNAcentral lists this ribosomal RNA (292 nucleotides) under uncultured bacterium. RNAcentral describes it as "partial 16S ribosomal RNA". It matches the Rfam family "Bacterial small subunit ribosomal RNA", at positions 505 to 796 of the family's 1533-position model. The record is from RNAcentral.